GUACUCUUUCCAGGAAAAAGGCCUUAGAUAAAUCUAAAUACAGAGAUUCCUUAAGAGCUGUUGAGAGAUACAUUCCACGGCUGGAGCAAGAUCUUGAGCUGCUUCGGUUGCAAGCUGAAAAUAAAACUGAUGCUCCUGACAAAAAUCAAGAGGCUGGCUUUGAGAAAUUUCAGCCUGAACACCGUUCAGAUCAGCAAAUUGAGGCAUCUGAUAAGCUCAAAAGGAUAAUGAUUGAAAAUGAAGAACAGAGUGAAGAAAAUGAUUCCAUGGUAGAUACAGAUAUAUGCUCAGAUUCUGAAGAUCUUUCAGAUAUUUUU
This 317-nucleotide unclassified non-coding RNA is filed under the name Hevea brasiliensis (rubber tree). Lineage: Eukaryota; Viridiplantae; Streptophyta; Magnoliopsida; Malpighiales; Euphorbiaceae. The record is from RNAcentral.